CGGGGAGUGGCGCAGCUUGGUAGCGCAUCUGGUUUGGGACCAGAGGGUCGCAGGUUCAAAUCCUGUCUCCCCGACCA
Molecule: transfer RNA, 77 nt
Filed under: Robiginitomaculum sp.
Lineage: Bacteria; Pseudomonadati; Pseudomonadota; Alphaproteobacteria; Maricaulales; Robiginitomaculaceae
Also listed under: 1 other name
Description: tRNA-Pro
Rfam family: tRNA
About the family: Transfer RNA (tRNA) molecules are approximately 80 nucleotides in length. Their secondary structure includes four short double-helical elements and three loops (D, anti-codon, and T loops). Further hydrogen bonds mediate the characteristic L-shaped molecular structure. tRNAs have two regions of fundamental functional importance: the anti-codon, which is responsible for specific mRNA codon recognition, and the 3' end, to which the tRNAs corresponding amino acid is attached (by aminoacyl-tRNA synthetases). tRNAs cope with the degeneracy of the genetic code in two manners: having more than one tRNA (with a specific anti-codon) for a particular amino acid; and 'wobble' base-pairing, i.e. permitting non-standard base-pairing at the 3rd anti-codon position.
Source: RNAcentral